GGGUUGUGAGGUUAAGCGACUAAGCGUACACGGUGGAUGCCCUGGCAGUCAGAGGCGAUGAAGGACGUGCUAACACACUAUCAUUAACUGAAUCCAUAGGUUAAUGAGGCGAACCGGGGGAACUGAAACAUCUAAGUACCCCGAGGAAAAGAAAUCAACCGAGAUUCCCCCAGUAGCGGCGAGCGAACGGGGAGGAGCCCAGAGCCUGAAUCAGUGUGUGUGUUAGUGGAAGCGUCUGGAAAGGCGCGCGAUACAGGGUGACAGCCCCGUACACAAAAAUGCACAUAUUGUGAGCUCGAUGAGUAGGGCGGGACACGUGGUAUCCUGUCUGAAUAUGGGGGGACCAUCCUCCAAGGCUAAAUACUCCUGACUGACCGAUAGUGAACCAGUACCGUGAGGGAAAGGCGAAAAGAACCCCGGCGAGGGGAGUGAAAAAGAACCUGAAACCGUGUACGUACAAGCAGUGGGAGCCUCUUUUAUGGGGUGACUGCGUACCUUUUGUAUAAUGGGUCAGCGACUUAUAUUCUGUAGCAAGGUUAACCGAAUAGGGGAGCCGAAGGGAAACCGAGUCUUAACUGGGCGUUAAGUUGCAGGGUAUAGACCCGAAACCCGGUGAUCUAGCCAUGGGCAGGUUGAAGGUUGGGUAACACUAACUGGAGGACCGAACCGACUAAUGUUGAAAAAUUAGCGGAUGACUUGUGGCUGGGGGUGAAAGGCCAAUCAAACCGGGAGAUAGCUGGUUCUCCCCGAAAGCUAUUUAGGUAGCGCCUCGUGAAYUCAUCUCCGGGGGUAGAGCACUGUUUCGGCAAGGGGGUCAUCCCGACUUACCAACCCGAUGCAAACUGCGAAUACCGGAGAAUGUUAUCACGGGAGACACACGGCGGGUGCUAACGUCCGUCGUGAAGAGGGAAACAACCCAGACCGCCAGCUAAGGUCCCAAAGUCAUGGUUAAGUGGGAAACGAUGUGGGAAGGCCCAGACAGCCAGGAUGUUGGCUUAGAAGCAGCCAUCAUUUAAAGAAAGCGUAAUAGCUCACUGGUCGAGUCGGCCUGCGCGGAAGAUGUAACGGGGCUAAACCAUGCACCGAAGCUGCGGCAGCGACACUAUGUGUUGUUGGGUAGGGGAGCGUUCUGUAAGCCUGUGAAGGUGURCUGUGAGGYAUGCUGGAGGUAUCAGAAGUGCGAAUGCUGACAUAAGUAACGAUAAAGCGGGUGAAAAGCCCGCUCGCCGGAAGACCAAGGGUUCCUGUCCAACGUUAAUCGGGGCAGGGUGAGUCGACCCCUAAGGCGAGGCCGAAAGGCGUAGUCGAUGGGAAACAGGUUAAUAUUCCUGUACUUGGUGUUACUGCGAAGGGGGGACGGAGAAGGCUAUGUUGGCCGGGCGACGGUUGUCCCGGUUUAAGCGUGUAGGCUGGUUUUCCAGGCAAAUCCGGAAAAUCAAGGCUGAGGCGUGAUGACGAGGCACUACGGUGCUGAAGCAACAAAUGCCCUGCUUCCAGGAAAAGCCUCUAAGCAUCAGGUAACAUCAAAUCGUACCCCAAACCGACACAGGUGGUCAGGUAGAGAAUACCAAGGCGCUUGAGAGAACUCGGGUGAAGGAACUAGGCAAAAUGGUGCCGUAACUUCGGGAGAAGGCACGCUGAUAUGUAGGUGAAGUCCCUCGCGGAUGGAGCUGAAAUCAGUCGAAGAUACCAGCUGGCUGCAACUGUUUAUUAAAAACACAGCACUGUGCAAACACGAAAGUGGACGUAUACGGUGUGACGCCUGCCCGGUGCCGGAAGGUUAAUUGAUGGGGUUAGCGCAAGCGAAGCUCUUGAUCGAAGCCCCGGUAAACGGCGGCCGUAACUAUAACGGUCCUAAGGUAGCGAAAUUCCUUGUCGGGUAAGUUCCGACCUGCACGAAUGGCGUAAUGAUGGCCAGGCUGUCUCCACCCGAGACUCAGUGAAAUUGAACUCGCUGUGAAGAUGCAGUGUACCCGCGGCAAGACGGAAAGACCCCGUGAACCUUUACUAUAGCUUGACACUGAACAUUGAGCCUUGAUGUGUAGGAUAGGUGGGAGGCUUWGAAGUGUGGACGCCAGUCUGCAUGGAGCCGACCUUGAAAUACCACCCUUUAAUGUUUGAUGUUCUAACGUUGACCCGUGAUCCGGGUUGCGGACAGUGUCUGGUGGGUAGUUUGACUGGGGCGGUCUCCUCCUAAAGAGUAACGGAGGAGCACGAAGGUUGGCUAAUCCUGGUCGGACAUCAGGAGGUUAGUGCAAUGGCAUAAGCCAGCUUGACUGCGAGCGUGACGGYGCGAGCAGGUGCGAAAGCAGGUCAUAGUGAUCCGGUGGUUCUGAAUGGAAGGGCCAUCGCUCAACGGAUAAAAGGUACUCCGGGGAUAACAGGCUGAUACCGCCCAAGAGUUCAUAUCGACGGCGGUGUUUGGCACCUCGAUGUCGGCUCAUCACAUCCUGGGGCUGAAGUAGGUCCCAAGGGUAUGGCUGUUCGCCAUUUAAAGUGGUACGCGAGCUGGGUUUAGAACGUCGUGAGACAGUUCGGUCCCUAUCUGCCGUGGGCGCUGGAGAACUGAGGGGGGCUGCUCCUAGUACGAGAGGACCGGAGUGGACGCAUCACUGGUGUUCGGGUUGUCAUGCCAAUGGCACUGCCCGGUAGCUAAAUGCGGAAGAGAUAAGUGCUGAAAGCAUCUAAGCACGAAACUUGCCCCGAGAUGAGUUCUCCCUGACYCYUURAGRGUCCUGAAGGAACGUUGAAGACGACGACGUUGAUAGGCCGGGUGUGUAAGCGCAGCGAUGCGUUGAGCUAACCGGUACUAAUGAACCGUGAGGCUUAACCUUACAACGCCGAAGCUGUU
This 2851-nucleotide ribosomal RNA is filed under the name Escherichia coli. RNAcentral's name for it is "bacterial LSU rRNA". It matches the Rfam family "Bacterial large subunit ribosomal RNA". Lineage: Bacteria; Pseudomonadati; Pseudomonadota; Gammaproteobacteria; Enterobacterales; Enterobacteriaceae. The record is from RNAcentral.